Molecule: non-coding RNA, 46 nt
Organism: Trichobilharzia regenti
Lineage: Eukaryota; Metazoa; Platyhelminthes; Trematoda; Strigeidida; Schistosomatidae
Source: Rfam
GUAUUGCUGAAGAGUCCCAAACUAGGACGAAACAGCUGUGGAGUAC